CCUACGGGUGGCAGCAGUGAGGAAUAUUGGUCAAUGGGCGUAAGCCUGAACCAGCCAAGUCGCGUGAGGGAUGACAGUCCUAUGGAUUGUAAACCUCUUUUAUAAGGGAAUAAAGUGCGCCACGUGUGGCGUUUUGUAUGUACCUUAUGAAUAAGCAUCGGCUAACUCCGUGCCAGCAGCCGCGGUAAUACGGAGGAUGCGAGCGUUAUCCGGAUUUAUUGGGUUUAAAGGGUGCGUAGGCGGCAUGUCAAGUCAGCGGUAAAAUCGUGGGGCUCAACCGAACCGUGCCGUUGAAACUGGGGGGCUUGAGUAUGCGAGAGGUAUGCGGAAUGCGUGGUGUAGCGGUGAAAUGCUUAGAUAUCACGAAGAACUCCGAUUGCGAAGGCAGUAUACCGGAGCACGACUGACGCUGAUGCACGAAAGCGUGGGUAUCAAACAGGAUUAGAUACCCGGGUAGUC
This 459-nucleotide ribosomal RNA is filed under the name uncultured bacterium. Its description in RNAcentral is "partial 16S ribosomal RNA". It matches the Rfam family "Bacterial small subunit ribosomal RNA", at positions 338 to 795 of the family's 1533-position model. The record is from RNAcentral.